RNAcentral lists this ribosomal RNA (98 nucleotides) under Chlorosarcinopsis eremi. RNAcentral's name for it is "large subunit ribosomal RNA". Lineage: Eukaryota; Viridiplantae; Chlorophyta; Chlorophyceae; Chlorosarcinales; Chlorosarcinaceae. The record is from RNAcentral.
AGAGAUAGUGCAUAAAUAGUACAGUAAUGGAAAACCUUGAAAACUGUUCACAUGUCAGGUACAUUUUACCGUACUUAUUGCAUUACGGGUGUACGAGU